Molecule: non-coding RNA, 2460 nt
Organism: Misgurnus anguillicaudatus (oriental weatherfish)
Lineage: Eukaryota; Metazoa; Chordata; Actinopteri; Cypriniformes; Cobitidae
Source: RefSeq, a predicted model, not a curated record
UUUAAUCCAUAAGGACUUUCCAAUUGUUUUAUGGGUUUGUUUAUUGCAGCAGUAUUAUAAUUUUCAGUCAGUAGUACAUUUUCAUACAUUUUUUAUCAAAAAUUACCGCUUUCUCUUUAACUUUGAUCGAUUUGAUCCACGCUCGACCUCUAGGGCUGCCCAAGAAUAGCGUGCACGCGCAAUUAUCUUGACUAGGGAAAUCUGGAUCACAUUAGUUGGAUUGCGUAAGCUUCAUUUGCCUUUUUUGAAACCGCUUUAGCCUCGCCUCAUUUGUUAGGUUAAUUCAAGUCGAGUUUGUAACUUUAAUCCUCGCUUUUCCAAGCGAGUUUUAUGAAAUAGCCCUCUGGCUAAAUGACUGAGCUGAGCUCAAUGAAGCCAAAACAAGUGCGUCCAGGCUUAAUUGGUUGCACAAAGACCAAGCCAGGAUGAUCAGACACGGAUUCAUCAAGCCAGGUGAAACCAAUCCUGGAUAGGUGCGCGCUCACGGAUCACUCAACUAGACACCGCCACCGAUCACAGAUUCACCGAUUCACCAUGGCAACUAGCGGCGUUCUUUUCCCCGUCAGAGGCACAAAUCCAUACGAGGAGGUAAAAUACAUAAUUAAGAAGAAAGGCAACACAACCACAGUAAUAAAGCAAAGAGAAAAAGCAUGGCAAAGUAUUGCAGACCGCCUGAAUGCGUAAGUAGUGCACAAUUACACACUCACCGCUCUGCUGAAACAUCACAAUUACAAUUAAAAUAUUUAAUUUACAUCUCCAAAAACGAAAUUGUACUCUGAUAAUAAAACAGUUCAUUUUUUUAUAUGAGUGAAAUUGUGUAAAGUAACUCCAUCACACUGGAUAAGGCUUCAAUAAAUUAUUAUGAAAGCCUUACAUUAUUACUACGCUCAUUAUGUACUCUGCUUCUUAUGUUGUCCACCGUUGACUUUUUUCUGCUUUUAUUAAUGUAAAGCUGCUUUGAAACAAUUGUGAAAAGCGCUUUAUAAAUAAAAUUUAGUUGAAGAUGAGCUAUUAAUAAUAAUCAAUUUAAUUUAUAAAGCGCCUUUCAAAGGAUCCAAGGCCACUUGCUCAUUGCACUGCAAAAAAUGACUUUCUUCGUGUUUUUGUCUUGCUUUCAGUAAAAAUAUCAAAAAAUUAAAUUAAGAUGUAUUAAAAAUUUUCUUGAAAUAUACUUUUUCAUAAACACUUAAUUUAAAACAAAUUUUCAUAUUCCAUUGGCUGAUUUUUUCCCUUAUUUUCCUAGGUCAUUUUGAAAAUGCAUCUUAAUUUAAGAAUUUUUUGAUAUUUUUACUGAAAAAAGGACAAAAUAAAAAGUAAGUCAUUUUUUGCAGUUUGACUCCAUUGAAUGUUCUUGUGAGAUAAAGAAAGUCUCUCUUUUUGUGUGUGGUGUGUGUGAUGUAGAUUAAACAUGAACGGGCCAAAACGGACAUGGCAGCAGUUCAAAAUCAAAUACAAGAACAUUCUGCAGAAUGCAGUGAAAAAGAAUACCCAGAGACAAGGCACGGGUGGUGGGUCACCAAAAGCUGACCUCAUCCCAGCAGAGGCCAGCUUUGGAGCUAAAUGGCAGGCCUGUUGGAGGGGAUCCCUGGGGGAAAAGAGACAAGCAUAGGUCCCUCACAAGAUGCCACCCGCUUCAUACAAGUGUCUGGCAGCACUGUGUUACUGUUAGAGCCACCAGCACGAGCACCAGACGAUGCUGAUCCAGUGAGUACUCCAUCAAAGGCAUACUGUAGGCCUGGCAUGUCUUGUCUACUAGCUUCAAUAUGAAUCAGAUUAAAUGUGAUAGGGUCAAGGCCCCAUUUCAUCAGCACAUAACGGCGAUGAUGAUUAGGAGACCAUCUCUCUGGAUUCCAGAAGGCAUAAGGACCCAGUGUCAUUGGUGCACUGGACUGCACACACAUAAGGAUAAAAGCCCCCUCAGAUUCUGCAGUCAUGGACUGAGCCAGGCCAUUUUGCCAGACCUCUGAAAUCUAUCAGUGCCUAUCACAAGGUGAAUUCUCUGGUGUGUUGUUGGGAGACAGGGGGUAUGGCUGCCAGCCUUUUUUCCUGACACCUUUCACAGACCCCCAGGAAGCACAACAGGCCUACAAUUAUGCCCAUGCCAGGACAAGGCCCAGAGUUGAAAUGACCUUUGGCCUCCUGAAGGCACGCUCUCACUGCCUUCACAAAUUUAGGGUCAGCCCUGUGAGGGCAUGUGACUUUACUGUGGCUUGUGCUGUCCUCCACAAUGUGGCCUGCCUGAGGAAGGAGAGGGCAUUUGUCCUGCAUUUAUUUCAGUGUGCAGACAUGCAGGGUGUGUUAUAUACAGACCUUUGAAUGUGUAUUUAUCCUUUGGUUGUAUAAUAUGCUUUGAUUCUGUGCUUUCCAUCUUGUAGAGUCACUGUGUGACUUCAGUUUCGAAAGGAGCUGAUGGUUUACCUGCUUUGUUUUGUCCUUAUUCAAUAAAGGAACAUAAUGUUA